CCUACGGGUGGCUGCAGUGAGGAAUAUUGGUCAAUGGGCGCGAGCCUGAACCAGCCAAGUAGCGUGAAGGAUGACUGCCCUACGGGUUGUAAACUUCUUUUAUAAAGGAAUAAAGUGAGGCACGUGUGCCUUUUUGUAUGUACUUUAUGAAUAAGGAUCGGCUAACUCCGUGCCAUCAGCCGCGGUAAUACGGAGGAUCCGAGCGUUAUCCGGUUUUAUUGGGUUUAAAGGGAGCGUAGAUGGGUUGUUAAGUCAGUUGUGAAAGUUUGCGGCUCAACCGUAAAAUUGCAAUUGAUACUGGCAAACUAGAGUACAGUUGAGGUAGGCGGAAUUCGUGGUGUAGCGGUGAAAUGCUUAGAUAUCACGAAGAACUCCGAUUGCGAAGGCAGCUUACUAAGCUGCCACUGACAUUGAGGCUCGAAAGUGUGGGUAUCAAACAGGAUUAGAUACCCUAGUAGUC
This 460-nucleotide ribosomal RNA is filed under the name uncultured bacterium. RNAcentral describes it as "partial 16S ribosomal RNA". It matches the Rfam family "Bacterial small subunit ribosomal RNA", at positions 338 to 795 of the family's 1533-position model. The record is from RNAcentral.